RNAcentral lists this long non-coding RNA (634 nucleotides) under Nicotiana tabacum (common tobacco). Its description in RNAcentral is "long non-coding RNA (NTAB_LNC007901)". The record is from RNAcentral. Lineage: Eukaryota; Viridiplantae; Streptophyta; Magnoliopsida; Solanales; Solanaceae.
GGAAACGGAUCCUCCUCCUUCGCCUUUAAAGAAAACCAGACGCUGCCCCUCUCUUUCCCUUCUCUAUUCUCAUGGCUGGGACGUGUGCUGUUGAUUUAAAGCCGUCUUUGGAUGAUAUUCCUAUUCAUUUCAGAGGGUGAUGAUUUUUUUCUUUCCUUAAUCUCUUAAAAUUAGGCAUUUCUUCAAGAUUUUGUUUACUAAUUGGUUGUAAAUACACUUAUAUUGAGAAAUGGUUUGGGACUACGAAAAUUCAUAUAAAUUUCAAUGUUUGUUUAUCAUCAAAUUUUAUGUCAUGAAUGUUUGUAUUAGUUGUUUGAUUUCUCUUAUUCCUCCCCGUCCCUAUAUCACAAUCACCAGUUCUGCUUUCUUGACCGGCGACUCAUUUUCCUCCGGCGAAACCUUGAUGCUAACAUCAGUAACAUGAACUGAAGGGAUAUGAUUACUUACAAAGUUACAAUUGCUAUUCAGUAGAGGAUUGAAGUGGGUGAUGUGAUAAUCUUAUGUUUAGUAAACUUUUACAUUUCAUUGAUUAUAUGACUUAUGUGACAAUAUUAUUCAGACUUUUUGAAUCAUAAUUGUUGAUUUAACUAAUUAAACAAAGAGUAUGUUGUUGGAAUUGCCAUUUCUUUUGAUG